CUGCGAAUAUUCUCGCUGUUCUGAUGUUGUAAUAAUCAGGGCAGGCUAAACAUUCGCUAUAUUAAGACCAUGCAUGUGUCCCCGGACCUAGUUCUUUUCCUAGGUCUGGUUUUAUAAAUGCUGGUGAUAAAC
Molecule: small nucleolar RNA, 132 nt
Organism: Tursiops truncatus (common bottlenose dolphin)
Lineage: Eukaryota; Metazoa; Chordata; Mammalia; Artiodactyla; Delphinidae
Gene: SNORA72
Rfam family: Small nucleolar RNA SNORA72
About the family: U72 is a member of the H/ACA class of snoRNAs. The snoRNA gene is located in intron 4 of the ribosomal L30 protein gene in human, mouse and chicken.
Source: Ensembl